GAUGAACGCUGGCGGCGUGCUUAACACAUGCAAGUCGAACGGUGAAGCAGGAGCUUGCUCUUGUGGAUCAGUGGCGAACGGGUGAGUAACACGUGAGCAACCUGCCCCUGACUCUGGGAUAAGCGCUGGAAACGGCGUCUAAUACUGGAUAUGUGAUGUGACCGCAUGGUCUGCAUCUGGAAAGAAUUUCGGUUGGGGAUGGGCUCGCGGCCUAUCAGCUUGUUGGUGAGGUAAUGGCUCACCAAGGCGUCGACGGGUAGCCGGCCUGAGAGGGUGACCGGCCACACUGGGACUGAGACACGGCCCAGACUCCUACGGGAGGCAGCAGUGGGGAAUAUUGCACAAUGGGCGGAAGCCUGAUGCAGCAACGCCGCGUGAGGGAUGACGGCCUUCGGGUUGUAAACCUCUUUUAGCAGGGAAGAAGCGAAAGUGACGGUACCUAACCAGAAAGCCACGGCUAACUACGUGCCAGCCGCCGCCGUAA
This 484-nucleotide ribosomal RNA is filed under the name uncultured bacterium. Its description in RNAcentral is "partial 16S ribosomal RNA". It matches the Rfam family "Bacterial small subunit ribosomal RNA", at positions 28 to 523 of the family's 1533-position model. The record is from RNAcentral.